UUAAGUUCAGCGGGUAGUCCUACCUGAUUUGAGAUCAAACGUUCACAAAGCUGUCUUCACUGAGGAGAGACGUUUAUGAGCCCCAGCGAACCUCCAUCGCUGAAGGUUACCUGGUAGAAAACCACAAGCGUAGAUAGUUAUCACACUGUGAUGCCACCAAACACUGGCAAGCUGAUUCAUUUGAGAGGAGCCGACCACAG
RNAcentral lists this unclassified non-coding RNA (200 nucleotides) under Tomentella sp. RNAcentral's name for it is "partial internal transcribed spacer 2". The record is from RNAcentral. Lineage: Eukaryota; Fungi; Basidiomycota; Agaricomycetes; Thelephorales; Thelephoraceae.